CUCCUGAUUCCUUACCCCUCUGACCUGAAUAAUAGUCUGAGUGGCUUAAAAAAAAGGAAAAGUAAAACUGAAGAGAUUUGGAGUCUUAAGUUUAUUUCAAACACAC
This 106-nucleotide small nucleolar RNA is filed under the name Echinops telfairi (small Madagascar hedgehog). RNAcentral describes it as "Small nucleolar RNA SNORA61 (ENSETEG00000025357.1)". The record is from RNAcentral. Lineage: Eukaryota; Metazoa; Chordata; Mammalia; Afrosoricida; Tenrecidae.